UAGAUGCAAAAAAGCGUAUGUGCAAA
RNAcentral lists this non-coding RNA (26 nucleotides) under Homo sapiens (human). Lineage: Eukaryota; Metazoa; Chordata; Mammalia; Primates; Hominidae. The record is from RNAcentral.